RNAcentral lists this ribosomal RNA (253 nucleotides) under uncultured bacterium. RNAcentral's name for it is "partial 16S ribosomal RNA". It matches the Rfam family "Bacterial small subunit ribosomal RNA", at positions 524 to 776 of the family's 1533-position model. The record is from RNAcentral.
UACAGGGGGGGCAAGCGUUGUUCGGAAUUACUGGGCGUAAAGGGUUUGUAGGUGGCUUGCUAAGUCAGACGUGAAAUCCCUCAGCUUAACUGGGGAACUGCGUCUGAUACUGGCGAGCUUGAGUGCAGGAGAGGAACGCGGAAUUCCAGGUGUAGCGGUGAAAUGCGUAGAUAUCUGGAGGAACACCAAUGGCGAAGGCAGCUCGCUGGGACGGUACUGACGCUGAGACGCGAAAGCGUGGGGAGCAAACAGG